Molecule: ribosomal RNA, 253 nt
Filed under: uncultured bacterium
Lineage: Bacteria
Description: partial 16S ribosomal RNA
Rfam family: Bacterial small subunit ribosomal RNA
Source: RNAcentral
UACAGAGGGGGCAAGCGUUGUUCGGAAUUACUGGGCGUAAAGGGCGCGUAGGCGGCCUUCUAAGUCGAACGUGAAAUCCCCGGGCUCAACCCGGGAACUGCGUCCGAUACUGGAAGGCUUGAAUCCGGGAGAGGGAUGCGGAAUUCCAGGUGUAGCGGUGAAAUGCGUAGAUAUCUGGAGGAACACCGGUGGCGAAGGCGGCAUCCUGGACCGGCAUUGACGCUGAGGCGCGAAAGCCAGGGGAGCAAACCGG